UUAACUAUUAUAUAGUACUCAGACGACAUGUAUAAACAGAGUUUAGGGUCCUCUGGCGUGCGCUCACCAGCGCGAGCCGGUGGCCGAAGCGGCACGCCAAAGCAACAAAGGUAUAUUCAACAUAGGGUUGGAGAGUCACCCUCGCGGGCGAGUUUCUCUGUAAUGAUCCCUCCGCAGGUUCACCUACGGAGA
RNAcentral lists this unclassified non-coding RNA (192 nucleotides) under uncultured fungus. RNAcentral's name for it is "sequence contains ITS1". Lineage: Eukaryota; Fungi. The record is from RNAcentral.